RNAcentral lists this ribosomal RNA (440 nucleotides) under uncultured bacterium. RNAcentral's name for it is "bacterial SSU rRNA". It matches the Rfam family "Bacterial small subunit ribosomal RNA", at positions 338 to 795 of the family's 1533-position model. The record is from RNAcentral.
CCUACGGGGGGCAGCAGUGGGGAAUAUUGCACAAUGGGGGAAACCCUGAUGCAGCGACGCCGCGUGAAGGAAGAAGUAUUUCGGUAUGUAAACUUCUAUCAGCAGGGAAGAAGAUGACGGUACCUGACUAAGAAGCACCGGCUAAAUACGUGCCAGCAGCCGCGGUAAUACGUAUGGUGCAAGCGUUAUCCGGAUUUACUGGGUGUAAAGGGAGCGUAGACGGAGAGGGAAGUCUGAAGUGAAAGCCCGGGGCUCAACCCCGGGACUGCUUUGGAAACUGCAGUUCUAGAGUGCCGGAGAGGUAAGCGGAAUUCCUAGUGUAGCGGUGAAAUGCGUAGAUAUUAGGAGGAACACCAGUGGCGAAGGCGGCUUACUGGACGGUGACUGACGUUGAGGCUCGAAAGCGUGGGGAGCAAACAGGAUUAGAUACCCCAGUAGUC